RNAcentral lists this ribosomal RNA (499 nucleotides) under uncultured bacterium. RNAcentral's name for it is "partial 16S ribosomal RNA". It matches the Rfam family "Bacterial small subunit ribosomal RNA", at positions 28 to 507 of the family's 1533-position model. The record is from RNAcentral.
GACGAACGCUGGCGGCGUGCCUAAUACAUGCAAGUCGAGCGAAGUUUUUCUGGUGCUUGCACUAGAAAAACUUAGCGGCGAACGGGUGAGUAACACGUAAAGAACCUGCCUCAUAGACUGGGACAACUAUUGGAAACGAUAGCUAAUACCGGAUAACAGUAUUUCUCGCAUGAGAGAUAUUUAAAAGUUGGUUAUGCUAACACUAUGAGAUGGCUUUGCGGUGCAUUAGCUAGUUGGUGGGGUAAAGGCCCACCAAGGCGACGAUGCAUAGCCGAACUGAGAGGGUGAUCGGCCACACUGGGACUGAGACACGGCCCAGACUCCUACGGGAGGCAGCAGUAGGGAAUCUUCCGCAAUGGGCGAAAGCCUGACGUAGCAACGCCGCGUGAGUGAAGAAGGAUUUCGGUUCGUAAAGCUCUGUUGUUAGGGAAGAAUGGAUAUGUAGUAACUAUACAUGUAAGAGACGGUACCUAACCAGAAAGCCACGGCUAACUACGUG